Molecule: ribosomal RNA, 500 nt
Filed under: uncultured bacterium
Lineage: Bacteria
Description: partial 16S ribosomal RNA
Rfam family: Bacterial small subunit ribosomal RNA
Source: RNAcentral
AUUGAACGCUGGCGGAAUGCUUUACACAUGCAAGUCGAACGGCAGCACGGACUUCGGUCUGGUGGCGAGUGGCGAACGGGUGAGUAAUGUAUCGGAACGUGCCCAGUCGUGGGGGAUAACGUAGUGAAAAUUACGCUAAUACCGCAUACGACCUAUGGAUGAAAGCGGGGGAUCGCAAGACCUCGCGCGAUUGGAGCGGCCGAUAUCAGAUUAGGUAGUUGGUGGGGUAAAGGCCCACCAAGCCAACGAUCUGUAGCUGGUCUGAGAGGACGACCAGCCACACUGGAACUGAGACACGGUCCAGACUCCUACGGGAGGCAGCAGUGGGGAAUUUUGGACAAUGGGCGCAAGCCUGAUCCAGCCAUUCCGCGUGCAGGAUGAAGGCCCUCGGGUUGUAAACUGCUUUUGUACAGAAGGAAAAGGUUUCUACUAAUACUAGGAGCUCAUGACGGUACUGUAAGAAUAAGCACCGGCUAACUACGUGCCAGCCGCCGCCGUAA